RNAcentral lists this ribosomal RNA (794 nucleotides) under uncultured bacterium. RNAcentral's name for it is "bacterial SSU rRNA". It matches the Rfam family "Bacterial small subunit ribosomal RNA", at positions 8 to 796 of the family's 1533-position model. The record is from RNAcentral.
AGAGUUUGAUCCUGGCUCAGAUUGAACGCUGGCGGCAGGCUUAACACAUGCAAGUCGAGCGGGGGAAGGUAGCUUGCUACCGGACCUAGCGGCGGACGGGUGAGUAAUGCUUAGGAAUCUGCCUAUUAGUGGGGGACAACAUCUCGAAAGGGAUGCUAAUACCGCAUACGUCCUACGGGAGAAAGCAGGGGAUCUUCGGACCUUGCGCUAAUAGAUGAGCCUAAGUCGGAUUAGCUAGUUGGUGGGGUAAAGGCCUACCAAGGCGACGAUCUGUAGCGGGUCUGAGAGGAUGAUCCGCCACACUGGGACUGAGACACGGCCCAGACUCCUACGGGAGGCAGCAGUGGGGAAUAUUGGACAAUGGGGGGAACCCUGAUCCAGCCAUGCCGCGUGUGUGAAGAAGGCCUUAUGGUUGUAAAGCACUUUAAGCGAGGAGGAGGCUACUUUAGUUAAUACCUAGAGAUAGUGGACGUUACUCGCAGAAUAAGCACCGGCUAACUCUGUGCCAGCAGCCGCGGUAAUACAGAGGGUGCGAGCGUUAAUCGGAUUUACUGGGCGUAAAGCGUGCGUAGGCGGCUUAUUAAGUCGGAUGUGAAAUCCCCGAGCUUAACUUGGGAAUUGCAUUCGAUACUGGUGAGCUAGAGUAUGGGAGAGGAUGGUAGAAUUCCAGGUGUAGCGGUGAAAUGCGUAGAGAUCUGGAGGAAUACCGAUGGCGAAAGCAGCCAUCUGGCCUAAUACUGACGCUGAGGUACGAAAGCAUGGGGAGCAAACAGGAUUAGAUACCCUGGUAGUCC